UACGUAAGGGGCAAGCGUUGUCCGGAAUCACUGGGCGUAAAGGGCGCGUAGGCGGUUCGUUAAGUCGGGAGUGAAAGCGCUGGGCUCAACCCAGCAAUGGCUCUCGAGACUGGCGAGCUAGAGGAUCCUAGGGGAUGCUAGAAUUCCAGGUGUAGCGGUGAAAUGCGUAGAUAUCUGGGAGAAUACCCGUGGCGAAGGCGGGCAUCUGGGGGAUUCCUGACGCUGAGGCGCGAAAGCUAGGGGAGCGAACGGG
This 253-nucleotide ribosomal RNA is filed under the name uncultured bacterium. Its description in RNAcentral is "partial 16S ribosomal RNA". It matches the Rfam family "Bacterial small subunit ribosomal RNA", at positions 524 to 776 of the family's 1533-position model. The record is from RNAcentral.